AAUCGCUAGUAAUCGCGGAUCAGAAUGCCGCGGUGAAUACGUUCCCGGGUCUUGUACACACCGCCCGUCACACCAUGGGAGUCGGAAAUGCCCGAAGUCUGUGACCCAACCUUAGGGAGGGAGCAGCCGAAGGCAGGUCGGAUGACUGGGGUGAAGUCGUAACAAGGUAGC
Molecule: ribosomal RNA, 171 nt
Filed under: uncultured bacterium
Lineage: Bacteria
Description: partial 16S ribosomal RNA
Rfam family: Bacterial small subunit ribosomal RNA
Source: RNAcentral